RNAcentral lists this small RNA (61 nucleotides) under Salix viminalis (osier). Lineage: Eukaryota; Viridiplantae; Streptophyta; Magnoliopsida; Malpighiales; Salicaceae. The record is from RNAcentral.
CUUAUCCCAUGAUGCAAAUUGUUUCACUCAACCACCCUUCCAUGACAAUGCAAUGGAUAAG